This is a long non-coding RNA of Hylaeus volcanicus, 589 nucleotides long. RefSeq lists it as uncharacterized. NCBI's taxonomy places the organism in Eukaryota, Metazoa, Arthropoda, Insecta, Hymenoptera, Colletidae. The transcript has 2 exons. The record is from RefSeq and is a predicted model, not a curated record.
CGAUGGCGCCACUGAUAUUAAGAGAGUAUAUAUAGAUAUACAGCGUAUACUUCUAUAUAGACUAGGGCGCCGGCGCCAUUGAGAGCCAUUUUGCUUCUCUUGCUAUUCUGUGGUGCUCUGUUUUUCGUGGUAUCGUGUUGAAUUCGUAUUAUAGGCCCGAUCGACUGGAUUAUUACGUCUCUUUCGAGAUUAACAUUUCACCCAAAGAAGAAACAUGUUCGCAGUUCAGAACGUAAUUAGGAAAACUUCGCAAUUAGGAAAGCUUGUUCUGAAUCAACGCAGAACGAUCGUUGCUACACCUCCGAGAUGUAAAGUACCGAAAGCCGAGCGGUUGGCACUUGGAGCAUUUUUGUGGGUAGGUGUGAUGACAGUGCCCUUAUACAUUGCGUGUCACGUAAGGGACUAUAAUGGAACCAGAUAUCAAACGGAUACAGAUUAGAUGUAUGCUUAGAAUUAAUCUCUUGCAGUAGGAACUGUUUAGUGAUACAAAAGGAAAUGGGAGGAAUAUCUCCUCCAGAAAAUAUCUAAACAAUGUAUUAAAAUGUAAAGUUUGGAACACCGAAUUAAAUAGAAUUAAUUAUAUAAAUUG